Non-coding RNA from Phoenix dactylifera (date palm), 6000 nucleotides. NCBI's taxonomy places the organism in Eukaryota, Viridiplantae, Streptophyta, Magnoliopsida, Arecales, Arecaceae. The record is from RefSeq and is a predicted model, not a curated record.
AUGCCAUAAUGAUGAUCCAUAAAAGAAUUAGGUCAAAACUUUUUUAUAUUCCUUUUCUUUGCAACAUUUCCUCUCAUUCUAAACUUUUUGCCACCCUAUAUAAUUUUUUAGAAUUUGCAGAAUAUGGAUUUUGAUUUGUCACUAAUUUGAUAUGAUAUGCUGUCAUCAUGAAAUUCAUGCAUUCAAACUUAUUGACCUUAUGAUGGGAAUUUAGACUUGUUAGCUUUACAAAUUUAGGAUUCCUAUGGGGUUGUUGUGCACUGCUAACUGGUUAUAGACUGUGAAAUCAAAAAAGUUGCACUUUACAAUAAAUAACUGUUUGAAUGGUAUGCUGGAUUCAUGGAUGCUUUUGAAUCAAAAUAAUUACCAGUUUCUGUGUGUUUGUAUUAGUCAUUGUUUGAAUAUGGCUUGCUACAUUGACUUUAGGAGUAGAAAAUAAUUCUUGUGAAAUACCAAUACCUUGAAUUUUAAAAUAUGCGCAUCCAUUAAACUUGAGUUUCAUCACCUCUUAUCUCACAACAUUUCCCCUUUGCUAGAUGGUGGUUGCACUUUUUGGAUGUUCAAGGCUUUUUGCAUGACCUGUAGUAAGAUUGGAGGGUAAUACAGGAGUUGAUGUUUUGUUUCAUACAUAAUGCUAUAUAUAUUUAAUUUAAACCAUUUAGACUCAGUACUUGGUAUAACCAAGCUAACUGAUAUGUUCAAAUCUAUCCACAAACUCUUCAAAUAUAAUCUUACAUAGUUGAUCUAUGUACACAUGUACCAUGUUGUAGCCUCUUCCUGGUCUGCUGGUUCAUCCUACUUGCAUGUUAGCAUAACAACAGUGGUGUGGAUAUGGUAAGUUAUGUUAAUGCUUCAGGAUGCAUGGUGCUUGAUCAGGGUGAGCAGAUCUUGGGUAAGUUCAGUGAGGGAGAUGUGCUGAUAAAUUGACAUGAUAUUUAGAAGAGUAUAUGGAUGGAAGUACUUAGUCAUGUGGUCCAUCUUUGCCUUUAAGCUUAAAUGGUAUUGCAGACAAUUGAGUGGGCCUUUAGAGUGGUAAUUGGAUUUUAUUUAAAGUUUGUAACUGAUAGGGCUUGACCACUAUAAAGAGAAGAGAUGAAUUAAAGAAUUUUGGUUUGUGGGGGGGGGGGGGGGGUUCCAUAAAGGAUCAAUUUUCUUAUUAGGAAUUCAUUAGUGUAUCAUGGAACAUAUUAGUGCAUGGUUUAACCAAUGAGGGAACGAUGCCUUAUACUUUCCUUUUCUAACUUGUGAGGGCUACCCACUUAAGGAAGGGCCUGCCCUCUUAAAUGAGAGCCCCAAUCACUUUGGAGAGUGGAGUGUUAUGCUCUUCAAAAAUCAAGGAGAUAAAAGAGAUGUGUGGCCCUUAGAGGGAAAGGAGAUUGGGAGCUAUAUUAUAAGGGAAACUGGAUGAUGUAUAGUACCUCCAAUGAGAAGUGUAGGAGCAUUUGUCUCUUUUAGGAAGUAUAGAAGAACCUUUUGGAAAUAAAAGGUUUCAAAAGGUGGGAUCUGCUUUUGUACAUUUGGAACUCUAUUUCAGGCAUAGAGAUCUUUCUAAUUCUUUCUAAAUGCUGCUGUUUUCUUUAAUUGAUCAUUGACUAGGCCUCCUGCAGAUCUUUCUGCCAAUCCGAAACAAUCAGACAUGAGGGAACUUCACUUCAAAUUCUGCUAAUUUCAGAUCUAAAAAACCACGGUGGCCUAAUUUUUCAGUUAAACAUGUGCUUUCAGUGCAGCAAGAUCUAUCGCUGGAGCAUCUUUUCCAGGUUGUUUCCAAUAAGGUUACAUAGACACAAAUUGAGUUGAGAACCUUAGACGGCAUCAGUCUCUGGGAAAUAUUUUCAGAUAUUGACCUGUUGAAGGCGAAGAAUGUAUGACAAGAGAGUAAUUUGGUAGUGGCAAAAGUGGAGACCUUCCUUUCUAUCAGAAGAACUAGGGCUUCUAGUAACCAAAAAGUUAAGUCUUCACACAAACAGCCAUAUUGAUGCACAGCAGUUAACUGAUUUCUGAACCAUGCACUGCAGUCCAUUGAUUUUCUAGGCCACAAAAGAAAAGAAACCCUUGCAUGGUUUUUAUUUUUACAGAGAAAAAAGUGAUGGAGAGGUUUCUGCACUGCAUGCAAUUUUGGUCCCCUAGAUUCUAUUGAAAUGGCUUUUUAGCAACAAUUUGUUUGCCAAGCAUUGAUCAAAAGGUGGAAUUCUUUUCACUAUAUUAACAAGUGAUGUGAACAAAUCAUAAUUUCAUAUCAAAUGGUUUCUUGUCUAUGUGGAGAAGAUGAAGUUUCUUUCAAAGAGGAUACCUUCUCAUGGACUAUCAGCAAAUACUAUCUAUUUUUGGUAAGAGCAAAGAUGAUCAAUUAAAAGCCCGUAUCUUCCAUGAAAUGAUGGAAGUUUUGAUAAAUAUAUGGAACAUCUCUUCAAACUAUCCAUGAGGGCUUGUAUCAGUAAAAAAUUCAUUGUUUAUGAUGUUAUUGCUGAAUUAUGCUUUUGAAUGAUGGUGUAGAUAUAUAAGGCGUCUCUGUAGCUAAAAGAGAAGUUGAAAAGGUGAAUUGUCAUUCUCUAGCAUACCUUGGAAGCCACUAUUUGUGCAUCUGGAUUACUUUCGUACCUGAGGCAUCAGAAGCAGGGUUAAAAAUAGCAAGGUGAAGAUUGAGGAGAAUAAAGAUAUGGAAAAAUUGGCAAGUGUUUUUGCAUGGAAAGACAUACGAACAGAGAAUCCAUUUUUUCUUUAUCGAAAGGGGAACAAGUAAAGAAUGAGGAUAGAAUGCAAAAGGCAAUAUUUUGCACACCAGCUGUCCAUCAAUGGUAGCACUGCACAUCAACCAUUGAUAGUAAGAAUCCUACAAACCUUGUUUCUUAGUAGUUUUAAAGUCAACUUCUAAGGUACCUAGAUAGUCAUCCAUACAUCUCUUUAUAUUGAAGGAGGCAAAUAUUAUUGUAAGGAUAUGAUUUUAGUUAAUUUUCUCUGAUAGAGACUUAAUGAGAUGGCAAGUUUAGUUGAGGUCAUAUGCACAUGCUAAUGUGGUUUAUCUUCUUGGGCUGGACAUGUAUCUAUGUCAGGAUCUUUGUGAGAGAGAAAACCUGCAUUUUCCAACAUGAAGCCUGAUAAAUUAUCCCAUGACCAAGGAAAAAGAAGGAUAGGGAGGAAGAAGGCAACAAAAUGGAGGUGGUCCUAUAGAUGUUAAGACAUAUUGUCUGAUUUCAAUGUAGUAGAAAGCGGAUAGUGGGCAUGUAGCGGCAAGGGGUUUCAUAGCGUAUACUCUUAUAGUGGACGCUACAGCCCAAAGCAGGUUGUUAAAAACAUAUCAAUGUUCUUCCAUAAUAAGUACCAAAAAUCAGUGUUUUACAUCAACUGCAUGGAGAAAAGUAUCAUGAAAAAACUAUAGAACAUCAUCAAUAGAACAUCAUAAUAUUAUAUAUAUUUCCAUAUAAUGUAAAAGUCCAAAAUCUAGUAACAAAUAUCAUGAUGCAUCAAACAUAAUAACAUCGCUCACAAGAUAAACAUGUCCAGAAUCACAACAUCAACCAUAAAAUAAAGAUGUCUAUUAUUACAUAGUAUUAAUCAUAAAAGAAAGAUGUCUGAAAUCAUAUAAGGUAACAAAAUGACUAGACCAGCCUGUGCUUUAAUCAACCUCUUGGACUGGCCGAUUACUAGACUGAUUCAAUUGGAAACUAAUCCAGCCCGCUGUGAAAUAAAUCACCUGCUUUGAACCCAUAAUAGCAUAGUGGCCGCUAUUGUGGGUUUUUGCCCCAUAUAGUAGUAGCUUCAUACACAAGCACCAUAUAGCAGUAGCUUCAUACAUAUAGCACUGCCACUGAUAUGAUACCUAGAGUAGUAUUUCAGGCCAAAACCACUAUAGCAGCCACUAUAGGUGGCCAUAGCAGUCGAUUUUUAUAACAAUGUCUAAUUUUUUUACUUAGUUUGAGGCGUUUGAAGUAAUUGAGGUUGAAUUUUUUGUCAUGGUACACAACAAAAGGAUUGCUUCAAACUGAGAUAAAAUGGUGAGAUCUUGUGGUUGUUUUCUAGGGGUUAUUUGUGUUUCCUUUGGUAAUUGAUGGAACUUGCCAACUCUCAUCCUGCACAAACACAAAAUUUUUAGUCCAAGAGGCAGUGUAUAAAAGCUGAAAAGAACCACAAAAUAUGGAUCACAGCAUUUGAGCAGCCACAUGCUCUUUAGAAUAGGAAUCCACCCUUAUUUUGCAUGGGUUACUGUCAUGAUUCUAUCCCUGGGGUCGUACAAGUCCUGUUCAUGUGUGCAUGAUCCUGAAGAACCUUGAGAGCAACCACCAACCAACACUUUAGGACCAUUGCAUUCUGCUGCAAUGAACUUCUGGAUCUGAUUUCCAAAGCAAUUUUAUCACACAAUUGGGUUCCAAAACUUAGAAAUUCAUUGAGAUUAGAUUGGUCCAAUUACCAAGAGGCCUAGAAUCAACAUUUUAUAUCAGUAAGUUAUACUUACCUAAUCAUAGUGUACUUAGCCACUAUAGGUGCCAACAAAUUAAACAGGUUAUCUCACCUAACCCGAGGUGGAGUAAAUGCACCCACUCUAGGUAGUCUAUCGAGGAGCUUAUUGACCUAUCCUAAUUGUUGGAUUUUCAUAGCAAGGCAUGUCUGGGCUCGGUCAAAUGGAUCUAAACAAAAAGAUUCAUGCCAAAUAUUUGGGAAGACUUUGUAUAGUGGCAUAGCGAAAGAUAAGUAACAAAAUUGGCACGACCCUCCCGACUAGGCCCAUCCUAGUUUUGGACAGGCAUGGACAAAGAUUUCUUGUAUAGUUGAUUGGGCUGAGAUUUUCAGGCCCAGUUUAAAACCAAGGUGUAGUUGGGCUUGUCAACGUCUAACAUGACUUAGAAUAACUCGGCUAAUUUAAUUUAUAUAAUGUGUCUUAAACUUAUGGAGUAAAAAAUAUACUGUAUUUUUAAUUUGAAUUUUGACAUAAAAAUUAAACAAGGGAAAGGGAAGUCUUAAAGCCUAGUUUUUAAUCCUAAUGUGUCUCUGACUCCCCUUCCCUUAUGUCUGACAUCUCCCCUUCAAUCCUAGGCUACUUGAUGGCUGCUACUUGUUACCCAUGGGCUAGCUUGUCUCCCACCACCUUUCUUAAUUGACUAAGAGAGGAGAGAGCCAGUGGGGAUUGGCUGGGUCACACCCAUAUUUGAUUGUGCUGAACCUCUACUUGGAUUGAGUCCAGUGUGGAGUUUAGGUGGAGUUCACGUCCAACAUCCUACAAUCUGGAAUCCCAAUAAGAAUAGCCUAGAACCAAGUUAAACUAAGCAAGUUAUAAGAUUAAAUUAAUUCUCAGCAAAUUCACUCAUCAAGCAGAUUUGAAACCAUGACCACUCGAAAACCAAUUCUCUUACUAUUGGAUGACAUGACCAAUUUUGAAAUAUCAUGCAACUGAAAACUUCAACACAGUUCAUUUUGAAACACCAUUUUAACUAAAAUAAUUUCAAAAUCCUUAAUUUUCAUAUAUUGAUUUUGGUCUGUUGGGGAUGAGAACUGAAGUCGGUCAGUUGUCCAUGGGAGACAUGGUGGUCCAUAUGUAAUGGUGAACUAAUGCCUCAAAGUUGCAUUAAUCAUUAUGUUACUGGUCCUUUUGGAUGAGGAUCUCAGAUGGGCUAGCCUUUUUAAGCGAGGGCCACUUGUUAAUCUCCUAUAGAUAAUUUUAUGAAUUUAUAAUUGUUGUUUCCCUCAAAGUUUAAUAGUUGCAGAUCGCACAAUGUGCUGGACCAAAUUCACACAGGAUCCACUUCAGUUAUAGUCCUUUGUUAAUCUCUGCAAGAUUGAGGUUCCAUAAUGUGACCAAGGUAAUUGGAAGACAAAGGCAUCAUGGUUGCUGCGCACAGUGGCUUGGAGACCUUGAUAAUCGAACUAGUAUAUCAUUGAGUAACAAUGUGAUACCGUAUGCAUAAGAUGCUGCUCAUUCGCAGGUUGCCAAGUUCAAUGUCUAAUUUGUGAGACAAUAAAGUAAUCUGUCCUGAAGUGGAUUUAAUAGUAAGAAAGAUUGCUUGCUAA